This 364-nucleotide ribosomal RNA is filed under the name Burkholderia sp. HP9. Its description in RNAcentral is "bacterial SSU rRNA". It matches the Rfam family "Bacterial small subunit ribosomal RNA", at positions 1022 to 1392 of the family's 1533-position model. The record is from RNAcentral. Lineage: Bacteria; Pseudomonadati; Pseudomonadota; Betaproteobacteria; Burkholderiales; Burkholderiaceae.
AGAGACCGGCGCACAGGUGCUGAAUGGCUGUCGUAAUAACAUGUGGUGAGAUGUUGGGUUAAGUCCCGCAACGAGCGCAACCCUUGUCCUUAGUUGCUACGCAAGAGCACUCUAAGGAGACUGCCGGUGACAAACCGGAGGAAGGUGGGGAUGACGUCAAGUCCUCAUGGCCCUUAUGGGUAGGGCUUCACACGUCAUACAAUGGUCGGAACAGAGGGUUGCCAACCCGCGAGGGGGAGCUAAUCCCAGAAAACCGAUCGUAGUCCGGAUUGCACUCUGCAACUCGAGUGCAUGAAGCUGGAAUCGCUAGUAAUCGCGGAUCAGCAUGCCGCGGUGAAUACGUUCCCGGGUCUUGUACACACCG